Molecule: ribosomal RNA, 549 nt
Filed under: uncultured Bifidobacterium sp.
Lineage: Bacteria; Bacillati; Actinomycetota; Actinomycetes; Bifidobacteriales; Bifidobacteriaceae
Description: bacterial SSU rRNA
Rfam family: Bacterial small subunit ribosomal RNA
Source: RNAcentral
CUCCUGGAAACGGGUGGUAAUGCCGGAUGCUCCGCCCCCUCGCAUGGGGGGGUCGGGAAGGCUUUUGCGGAAUGGGAUGGGGUCGCGUCCUAUCAGCUUGUUGGCGGGGCGACGGCCCACCAAGGCUUCGACGGGUAGCCGGCCUGAGAGGGCGACCGGCCACAUUGGGACUGAGAUACGGCCCAGACUCCUACGGGAGGCAGCAGUGGGGAAUAUUGCACAAUGGGGGGAACCCUGAUGCAGCGACGCCGCGUGCGGGAUGGAGGCCUUCGGGUCGUGAACCGCUUUUGAUUGGGAGCAAGCGUGAGUGAGUGUACCUUUCGAAUAAGCACCGGCUAACUGCGUGCCAGCAGCCGCGGUAAUACGUAGGGUGCAAGCGUUGUCCGGAAUCAUUGGGCGUAAAGGGCUCGUAGGCGGUUCGUCGCGUCCGGUGUGAAAGCCCAUCGCUUAACGGUGGGUCUGCGCCGGGUACGGGCGGGCUUGAGUGCGGCAGGGGAGGCUGGAAUUCCCGGUGUAACGGUGGAAUGUGUAGAUAUCGGGAAGAACACC